AAGGAGAAGACGUCUGCCGGUUAAGGGAAAGCGGUGAAACUCCGCUGCAGAAGACCAGCUGCUGUAAUCGGGUACUGAUGCUCCAAUCAGCCACUGUUCACAACGAACGGGAAGGCGGAGCAGAGGGAUAAUCCGUAAGCCAGAAGACCUACCGACAGUCAUCUCAUCAU
RNAcentral lists this non-coding RNA (170 nucleotides) under bacterium F16. The record is from RNAcentral.